This 11752-nucleotide long non-coding RNA is filed under the name Malus domestica (apple). RNAcentral describes it as "long non-coding RNA (MDOM_LNC005296)". The record is from RNAcentral. Lineage: Eukaryota; Viridiplantae; Streptophyta; Magnoliopsida; Rosales; Rosaceae.
AGGGUAGACCUCGACCACAUCUUUGCCUUCCCAAUAAGCCUUCAUCUGUUCCUGAGUGAUAGAGUCCAUUUUCCCCAAGUACCUAACCAGUGCUUCCGGCUUCAAAAACCCUGGCGAUCUUAUAACUUUCGCUUCUUCAUCACGAGAAGGUUGUGCCACAGCAGGACCAGCAGCAGCGGUGGGGGCGGCAGCCUUGUAUGAUCGAAACAUCUUUUGCAUUGAAUGUGGUCGAAAAGCUGUGAAGUACUUUUGUUCAUUGGAGAACAGAAAUUUGUGUCCACUAGGACCACAAAUCACUGCAGUUUUCUCCCCCAGAAUAUAGGUCUUGAAGAUGUCAGGAGAGUACCUCCUCAUCCUCUUGAACACAAAAUUUUCCGGCUUCCCGAACAGGAACUCGAUCGAUUCACCCACAAUAGGCCACCCCAUGCUUCCUGGUGGGAGGUUUUUGCCAUCAUCUGAUUUUCCUUUGAAUGCAAAGAUUGUAAAGGCUAAGAAAGCAGCACCUAAAGAGAAUAUAAGGUACAAAGUCUCCAUGGUUGGAAUUUGGAGCUGAUCAAGUCUCAAAUACUUAGCUGAGACUGAUUGAAGUUAGCAAGAGGAGUGGUGUGUAGGAAGCUUGGAAAGUUGGGGUUUUAUAGGGAAAGAUUCACUGUGUCAACAACUUUGAGUUAGCAGUAGCACACCAAAAGUGACAAACUUUGAAUAUUCUUCAGAAGGACUUGGUUUGAUAUAAAAUAUUCGAACUUCAACUUGCAAUAACAUUAAUCAUAUAUUCAUAAAACACAUGGUUGCUUGCUCCACUAAGUUUAUUGCUAGGUGGUCCUUCAAUUUGCAGAUGUUAGCAUUUAUGUUUUCAUGAAAGGACAAGAGAAACCUGUUUGCUGGAAUUCUCUACUUAACUAGUGCAUUACUAAAGCUUCGGUACCAAAAUUGCUAUUUACUUGUUUAACUUGUGUGAGGGUGAGUCUUGAUGCAUCGGAAAGGUUGCUCAUUUGUGACCAAAAAGGUUACUGGUUCGAGUCGUGAAAAUAAUCUUUUUGCAAAACAAAUGUAUGACUGCAUAAGAUAGAUGUUCCUCCUCCGAUCCUCACAAAACGGAGAGUCUUAUUGGCUUGGAGGCACCCUUUUACUUAUUUAACUUGUGUAAUUUGUAGCAAGAUUAGAUGGUUAGAAGUUUAUUGGACUGAAUACUAUAAAAGCAUGUUUUUCUUCUUCAUUUUCCCUCUGAUUAAAUUGGAAAGGGCACCAUGCCAAAGUGAUUUCUAUGCAUUUUGUUCAACGUUUGCUAACCAUCUCCAUUUUAAGUUUUUAGUUCUCAUUUCAGAUUUGGGUUUUGAGCUUCCAGUUUUCAUUUUUCAAAAAAAAAAUAAAAAAAUACAAAAACUAAAAACAAAAUAAUUAUCGAAGUGCUUCUUCAAGUUUUGUUGGAUGAUUAUUUCUAAACUUGGCAUCGAUUGUUGUAGAUUCAAAAGUUUUAAUUUAAAAAAUAAAAAAUAAAAGACUAGACGGUGGCUUCGUCAUGAAAUCAAUUCUUUCGAGGGCUAGGAAGACUCAUACAAACAUCUCUCCCUAGCUACCAUCAUGUGCUUCACAAACACCAGGAAUCGAAUGUAAAACAUAUUGUGUGAAAUACAAAUCUAGAACCGUGGUAGGUGAUUCAAAAGCUUUAAAUCAAGGAUACAAAAUAGCAAAUUAAAUGGCGAGAGAUACAUAAUACAAGAGAUGUUAAGCACCAAGGUACUUACAAUAACACCCGCACACGUCAUGGGCACCUCAAGCGGUGGUCAAUUAAUUCAGCCUAGAGGCUUCCCAUGAUGGCUCGCCGGCUUCCAUAAUUGGCUUUAUAAAGGUCUUCCCUUCACAUUAGGGACUUUCCGGUACAUGCAUCUCCUCAUCUAUUUCUUCUUAUUCAUCUUCCCGGUGACGUACAGCAGGAGUGCAAGUUGAAUUGGAAAUUUUAAUCCAAAUAAUAAAAUUUUGUUUUGAGUCCUAACAUUUCCAAUUGCGAGAAUUUUGGAUGGCAUUUGAUAUUUACUUAUACAAUCCGAAAUUUUGAAAAUUUUCAAACUUAACACUAUAAACAAAAAAACCACGCAUAUUCUUAUUUUAUCAUGUAUUUAGAUAUGCUUUAUUUUUAUUUUUUAAUUUAAUUAUACUAUUAUAUGUUAAAAAUAAAGAAUGUAACUAUUUUAUCUUGUUUAAUAUGAUUUUAUGUUGAACACAUAUACGCCUACAAUAAUCACAAAAAAAUCAAAAAAAAAAAUAUUGACCUGUGGACACAUAAAAUUUUUGGCAAUUUUAACGUCUUCAAAAUAUAUGAGAUCCAAGUUAUGUUAUGAAAUUUAUGAUACAAAACCGAUUCGAAAUUUCAGAUAAAUUCCGAUAAUGCAAACUUCCGAACUAGAAACUAAUAUACACGGGCGCGGACUGCACGAUAUUGCACUUGUAUUUGCACGAUUAUUUAUUGUGGUUUAUCCUUUGGUCAACAUUCGACUGAGCGUCAACUUUAGUAGGCCAACCUUGGCGACCGACAACAACCAACAGGAAAUCAGACUCACUGCAAGUAAUUUAGUAAUGGUAUUCGUGGAUUACUAUUUAACUGAGGAUGAGUUUAAACUAUGGUAUUCGGGCACAAAUAGAACGAGAAACGGUGUUGACAUCAUCGUGGACAAGACCUUGACACAAGAUGUUGUAGAUGUCAAGAGGGUAGGAGAUAGAAUCAUGGCAAUCAAGAUUGUAAUAGGACAAGAACUUAUCAAUGUGAUUAGUGCGUACGCACCUCAAGUAUGGUUGGAUACGAGUUCGAAGGAGAAAUUUGGGAAGACCUUGGAGACUUGGUGCAAGGAAUUGCUCAGACGGAGAAGUUAUUUAUAAGAGGAGAUUUAAAUGGACACGUGGGCAGGGAGACAGGCAACUAUGGAAGUUUUCAUGGUGGCCAUGGUUUGGGGAGAGAAACGAGGAUGGGGAAGCUAUCUUGGAUUUUGCAAUGGCAUAUGAUCUCUUCUUAGCCAACACCUUCUUUAAGAAGAGAGAAGAACAUGUGAUCACCUACAAGAGUGGGUCGUCAAAAACACAAAUAGAUUUUCUUCUAAUGAGGAAAGGGGAUCGUAUAACUUGUAAGGAUUGCAAAGUUAUACCAGGAGAGAGCGUGGCUAAUCAACAUCGCUUGUUGGUGAUGAUGAUGUACAUAUCAAAAGAGUGAGAAAAAAGAACAAGACUUGGAAGUGCCCAAGGACUAGAUGGUGGAAUCUAAAAGAAGAAAAACAAGCCAUUUUCAAAGAGAAAAUAAUCACCCAAUGUGUGUGGGAUAGAGAGGGGGAAGCUAACCAAAUGUGGGAUUCCAUGGCUAGUUGUAUCCGAAAAGUAGCAAAAGAGGUAUUAGGAGAGUCCAAGGGCUUUUGCCCCACACCAAAAGGAAUCUUGGUGGUGGAAUGAGGAGGUACAAACAAAGGUGAAGGCUAAGAAGGAAUGUUGUAAAGCCUUAUACAAGGAUAGGACCGAUGAAAAUGGUGAAAGGUAUAGAAAAGCGAAGCAAGAGGCGAAGAAAGCUGUGAGAUAAGCUAAGUUAGCGGCUUAUGACGAUAUGUAUAAGCGACUAGAUACCAAAGAAGGAGAGUUGGAUAUCUAUAAACUAGCUAGAGCAAGGGAAAAGAAGACAAGGGACCUAAACCAAGUGAGGUGCAUCAAGGAUGAGGAUGGAAAGGUUCUUGCUACAGAGAACGCGGUUAAAGACAGAUGGAAAAGUUAUUUUCAUAAUCUUUUCAAUGAAUGACAUGAAAGGAGUGCUUCUUUAGGGGAGUUGAGUAACUCAGAAGAGUGUAGAAACUACUCUUUUUAUCGUAGAAUCCGGAAGGAAGAAGUGGUUGUAGCUUUGAAGAAGAUGAAGCAUAGAAAAGCAGUAGGCCCAGACGAUAUACCAAUCGAAGUGUGGAAAGUUUUGGGAGAGACAGGUAUAACAUGGCUCACUGACCUUUUCAAUAGGAUUUUGAAAACGAAGAAGAUGCCAAAUGAGUGGCGAACGAGCACUUUGGUGCCUAUAUACAAGAAUAAGGGCGAUUUACAAAAUUGCAUGAACUAUAGGGGUAUUAAGCUAAUGAGUCAUACAAUGAAGCUUUGGGAGAGAGUCAUUGAGCAUAGAUUGAGGCAAGAGACACGGGUUUCGGACAACCAAUUCGGGUUCAUGCCAGGGCGCUCAACCAUGGAGACAAUCUAUCUCUUACGAAGAUUGAUGGAAAGAUAUAGAGAUGGGAAAAAUGAUAUACACAUGGUCUUUAUAGAUUUGGAAAAAGCGUAUGAUAGGGUCCCAAGAGACAUUCUUUGGAGGAUUUUAGAGAAGAAAGGAGUACGAGUAGCAUAUAUCCAAGCUAUACAGGAUAUGUAUGAAGGAGCAAAGACUGCCGUAAGAACUCAUGAAGGACAAACCGAGAGCUUUCCCAUAAGUGUAGGAUUACAUCAAGGCUCAUCCUUAAGUCCUUACCUUUUUGCGUUGGUAAUGGAUGAGUUAACAGGACAUAUUCAAGAUGAUAUUCCUUGGUGUAUGCUUUUCGCAGACGAUAUAGUGUUGAUAGAUGAAACUCAGGAAAGGGUAAAUGCAAAGCUUAACCUUUGGAGAGAAGUGUUGGAAUCUAAAGGUCUUCGCCUAAGCCGAUCAAAGACAGAAUAUAUGGAGUGCAAGUUCAGUGCAAAUGGAGGCCAAAACGAGUUAAGGGUGAGGAUCGGAGAUCAAGAAAUACCAAAGAGCGACCGUUUUCGUUACCUAGGAUCUAUCUUGCAAAAGAACGGAGAAUUAGAUGAAGAUCUCAACCAUAGAAUACAAGCUGGAUAGAUGAAGUGGAAGAGUGCAACCGGCGUGUUGUGUGACCGCCGUAUGCCACUGAAGCUCAAGGGAAAAUUUUAUAGGACGGCAAUAAGGCCGGCGAUGCUGUAUGGCACAGAAUGUUGGGCGGUGAAGCAUCAACACGUACAAAAAAUGGGUGUAGCGGAGAUGAGGAUGCUUCUUUGGAUGUGUGGGCACACGAGAAAGGAUAAGAUUAGGAAUGAGGAUAUCCGGGGUAAAGUAGGAGUAGCCGAAAUUGAAGGAAAGAUGAUAGAAAAUCGGUUACGGUGGUUUGGACAUGUGCAAAGAAGGCCUACUGAUGCUCCGAUUAGAAGAUGCGACUAUGGGACAGAGGUUCAGGGCCGAAGGGGUAGAAGAAGACCCAGGAAAACUUUGAGAGAGACCCUAAGAAAAGACUUAGAGUGCUUGGAUCUAACAGAGGACAUAACACAGGACAAAACACAAUGGCGUUCUAAGAUUCAUAUAGCCGAUCCCACUCAGUGACUUGGAUUUUCCAAGUCUCCAACCGAGAAGUUGUCCUCGCUCGGGAAAUUAAGGGAACACUACCUCAACCUACAUGCUCCACUCACAAAGCUCCAACAUACAAGCUUCAACAAAAGAAAAUUCAAAGAACUUAGGGAAGAAGGCUUUGGUGAUUUAACACAAUACGUUGAAAUGAAGGAAAGCUUAUUUAUUGAUAUCCCCGAUAAAUUACAAAUAUGUACAUAUACUUGAGUCAAAAUAAACAAACAAGAGGGAGCCUUCACAAAUGUUGCUUAGGAGAAGUCUCGGCAGUCGGUAGAGCCCCAGAAAGAGAAGGCACCGGAGGGGGAUCAUUCGGAGCCUCAGUACUGGACAGAACCCUAGAAUGAGGAGGCAUCAGAGGUUGAUCAUUUGGAGCUUCAUUACGCGGUACAGCCCCAGAAGACGAAGGCAAUAAAUGCCUUUGGAACAAACCCACAAAUCUCUGAUGAUCAAGUAAAACCUGACCAUCAGAUUCCUUCAUCUGGUCAAGCUUCCUCUUCAUGUUUGUAGCAUAGUCAUGUGCGAGCCGGUGCAACUGUUUAUUCUCAUGCUUGAGCCCUCUAAUCUCCUGUUUGAGACUCAUCACUUCAGCCGCCAAUGAUUCAACUUGGCGGGUUCGAGCAAAUAGGCGUUGGGCCAUAUUAGACACAGAACCUGCACACUGAACACUAAGAGCCAGAGAAUCCUUAACAGCCAACUCAUCAGACCGUUUGGAAAAUAGUCUGUUAUCUUUGGGAGUGAGAAGGUUCCUGGCCACUACCGCAUCGGUCAUAUCAUUCAUCAUCAUGGAAUCCCCAACGGUAAGAGGACUAGUAGGGGAGACGAAGGAUGGGCGCCAUAUGUUGUCUGGAGAAGGCGGGGCUGCCUCUUCAACAAGGUUCAAGUCAAAACGACGGUCGGAGGGGCCAGACAUUUUCAAAGGUGUAGAAGAGAGAAUAGGUCGGACAAAUCAAGAUCUUAGAAGUGCAAGAAUGGAGCUUCUACUGGUGGAUAUUCAAGUGUGCUUUGGAACUUAAUGUCAGCCUCUAUAAAAAUCUGCACUCGACGAAGCUUCAGAAAUCGAAUAGGCGUUUGCUUUCUCAAAAGCUGGGCUGCUCAGAGACCACGAGGGUCGAUCUCAGAAAUCGAAGAGGCGUUUGAUUUCUCAAAAGAUGGGCUGCUCAAAGACCACGAAGGCCGAUCUCAGAAAUCGAAGAGGUUUGCUUUCUCAAAAGCUGGGCUGCUUAGAGACCACGAGGGCCGAUCUCAGAAAUCGAAGAGACACCUACUUUUCCAGCCUUGUCAACAUCUGUCACACGCACACUCAGCUUUGCGAAAAUUAUGGGCAUUCUGUCGAAGAUUUCUGGCGAAGUAGAAAACACAUGAAUCGUACUGUUCAAUCACCCACUUCCCACACGCAACAGUAGCUCAUGGGUACCACAUAUAAUUUUGCCAAAGUUCUCUGACAAAGUUGAGACUACUUUUCCAACCUUGUCAGCACCUGUCACACGCACACUCAGCUUUGCGGAAAUUAUGGGCAUUCUGUCGAAGAUUUCUAGCGAAGUAGAAAGCACAUGAAUCGUAUUGUUCAAUCACCCAAUUCCCACACGCAACAGUAGCUUAUGGGUACCACAUAUAACUUUGCCAAAGUUCUCUGACAAAGUUGAGACACGUGAAGCUUGCAACUCUCACUACAUCGCUCUGACCAAGAAGGGUAAAAGAAUAGCAAAGAAACAACACUAACAAAGUUUAGACACAUAAAUUUUGAAGGCCUAGCUACCAUAUUAUUACCCACAAGGGUAAAGGAACAUUACCACUGCUGGAUAAUUGGAAAGUCCCGGUGUGUCAACCUCUGUGCUUCGUGGCAAGGUAGACUAGCAAACAUGCCCAACCUUUACUCAUAUUCGAGAAAACACUCCCAACAAGAUUGCUUGCCCCAAAAUCGAAGAGGCAUCGCCCUCCGAAUCUCGAGAGCCAGAUUCCCAACAUGAUUACUUUCUAAAAAAUCGAAGAGAGGGUAAAGGAACAGUACCACUGCUGGAUAAUUUGAAAGUCCCUGUGUGUCAACCUCUGUGCUUCGUGGCAAGGUAGACUAGCAAACAUGCUCAACCUUUACUCACAUUCGAGAAAACACCCCCAACAAGAUUGCUUGCUCCAAAAUCGAAGAGGCACCGCCCUCCGAAUCUCGAGAGCCAGACUCCUAACAUGAUUACUUUCUCAAAAAUCGAAGAUAGGGUAAAGGAACAGUACCACUGCUGGAUAAUUGGAAAGUCCCUGUGUGUCAACCUCUCUGCUUCGUGGCAAGGUAGACUAUCAAACAUGCCCAACCUUUACUCAUAUUCGAGAAAACACUCCCAACAAGAUUGCUUGCUCCAAAAUCGAAGAGGCACCGCCCUCCGAAUCUCGAGAGCCAGACUCCCAACAUGAUUACUUUCUCAAAAAUCGAAGACACCGCUCUCCGAAUCUCGAGAGCCAGACCCCAGCAGGAUUGCUUUCUCAAAAAUCGAAGAGGCAUCGUUCUCCAAAUCUCGAGAGCCAGAUCCCCGACAGGAUUGCUUGUUCGAAAACCGAAGAGGCACCACUUUCCCAACUUUAAAAGCCGGAUCUCCUUGGAUAAAGCUUGUCUGUAAUCUUCACACGCAACAUCAGCUUUCCAGAUACCACAGACCACUUUUUCAAAGUGCUUUGACAGAGUUAAAACUUGUGAAGCUGGCAGCUCCCACUAUCGUGCUAUGACCAAGCAGGGUAAAGGAAUAACAUUAUUACUUGAUGUUAGGGAGACUCCUAUAUAUGUCGACCUCCAUCCCCAACGGACAGGCAGACCUGCAAAAAUGCUCAACCCUUCCUCUUAUCUGAGAGGGCACUCCCAACGAAGCCUUUCGAAAUAUUUAGCUUUCUUUCCCCCCGAUAAUACCUCUGUAAACAAGCUAUACUAGAGCAAGAAUAUCUCAUAUCAUCAGGGUUAAAAGAAAGAGUAUCCCAUAUCAUGCUUUUUCCUUGUCUUUUCCUUUGGCCUUGUUCUUACCUGCAAGACAAGGAGAAAGAGAGCAAUCAGUCAGCACUUGGAAUCAAGCUUCCAGCCAGGAACUGACUGCCUGGAACCCCUUACCUGAUUACUUACCUGGCAUUGCUCUCGAAUACUCAUCUUCAACAUCUUAUGCUUCCAGGGAAGAUACCGCAUCUGCUUGAGGAACAGAUAGGGCAAGUGAGAAUGAUACAAGGAAGCAUGUGGAGACAAGCGUAACAGCACACAUGCCGAUACAUCCACUACUCUGUCAAAAGCAAAAGUAUCCCAUAUCAGCAGGGUCGAACGUACUCUAGAUUUGAUGGACUUGUUUUGACCCUCAAAUUCUUCAGUCGGCCUUAUACUCUGGAGGAAACCAGAAAACCCUCCAGCCCAGUUCAAGAAUAAGCCUAUGGAAAGUUACUUAUUCAAAAGCAAAAGUAUCCCAUAUCAUCUCUUCUCAUUUUUCUUCUCUUUAUCCUUCAUGCUGCCUGCAAGAUAUGGAGAAUGUGAACAAUCAGUCGGAGCUCUGAUUGCUUACCUUGUCUGUUACCUCUUUCAGCAGAUCCCCUAGCUCGGCGACUUGGGGGACUCCUACUACAUGGUUUGUAUCGCGCUUGACCAAGCCUGAAACUACAAGUAAGCUUCAAGUGACAUUGAUACAUUACCUUGUGCAUCUCCACCAGUUACAGAUACCACCCUUGGAUGGAGGAAGAGUACUUCCAGAGAAGAUUCCACAUCUACCUAUGAGACAGAUAAGGAAAGUCAAGACGAUACCACACUCCGGUACUUAGAAGUUUCGUGGUUACGAGAUCAUUCUCCCACAAUAUUUCCUAAUGUCAUUUGUACUAAAUCAUUCACUUGUACUCCCUAAAGGAGAGCUUGAACCUAUGUACUUGUGUAAACCCUUCACAAUUAAUGAGAACUCCACUAUUCCGUGGACGUAGCCAAUCUGGGUGAACCACGUACAUCUUGUGUUUGCUUUCCUAUCUCUAUCCAUUUAUAUACUUAUCCACACUAAUGACCGGAGCAAUCUAGCGAAGAUCACAAAAAGUGACCGUUUUCACUACCUAGGAUUUAUCUUGCAAGAGAACGGAGAAUUAGAUGGAGAUCUCAACCAUAGAAUACAAGUUGGAUGGAUGAAGUGUAAGAGUGUAUCCGGCGUGUUGUGUGACCGUCGUAGGCCACUGAAGCUCAAGGGAAAAUUUUAUAGGACGGCAAUAAGGCCAGCGAUGUUGUAUGGCACAGAAUGUUGGGCGGUGAAGCAUCAACACGUACACAAAAUGGGUGUAGCGGAGAUGACGAUGCUUCGUGGGAUGUAUGGGCACACGAGAAAGGAUAAGAUUGGGAAUGAGAAUAUCCGAGGUAAAGUAGGAGUAGCCAAAAUUGAAGGAAAUAUGAGAGAAAAUCGGUUCCGGUGGUUUGGACAUGUGCAAAGAAGGCCUACUGACGCUCCGGUUCGAAAAUGUGACUACGGGACAGAAGUGCAGGGCCGAAGGGGUAGAGGAAGACCUAGGAAAACUUUGGAAGAGACCCUAAGAAAAGACUUGAGUACUUGGAUCUAACGGAGGACAUGACACAAAACCGAGCGCAAUGGCGUUCUAGGAUUCAUAUAGCCGACCCCACUUAGUAGGAAAAAGCUUUGUUAUUGUUGUUGUUGUUGUACAGAGAAUGAAACUUAAACUAGAUCGCAUAAUACACUACUUAAAAUCGAUUUGACUAGAUUUGCAUGGACAACUUUCGUAAUUUGAAGAUCACUUGAAUUUACCUAAUUUGAAAACAGCAGAAUAAGAAGUAAUGGAUCUCAUGAGUCUCGAUAUAUUUAUUAUAUCUUCUAAUUCAACUUCAAAUAUUAAAUAGGAAAGGGACGGUUUGAGUUCGAACUUCAGUAGCUAAUCUAACAAAAUUUAUCAUUUACAUACAAAAAAAUUUCAAAUAUUAAAUAGGAAAGUGAUUUUUAAUUUUGAUUAAUUAAAUAAAAGGUAAUAUAUCACAUGAUUUUGCAAUUUCUCACUACAGGAAGCCAGGAAGGUGAAUAAAAAAAAAAAAGGAGGAGCAAGUAUUUCAAAACUGAGAAAAAAAUUCAAAACAGUCUGAGAUGCCUAGUGACGGGUAAGGCGAACCGGAAGUCCUUUUUCCGGUGUUGGCAUCAUGUCGCCGGUGAUCUUCUCCUUAGGAAAUACCACUUCCCAUUUGAACCUCUUGACCACAUUGUGAACGAAAGUGAGGAUUGCUAGGCGAGCGUACUCUUUCCCAGGGCACAUUCUUGGGCCUCCUCCAAAUGGAACAAAUGUGAAAGCUGGGAAUACACUUAGGUCAUCAUAUCUUGAUGGGUCAAACUUUUCUGGGUUGGGGAAGUACUCUGAGUUCAUGUUUACUGUACUCACAGUCCAAUAUACCUUCCAGCCCUUCGGAAUGGUGUAACCGGCGUAGGUAAAAUCAGUCAAGGCCUCUCUGAAUGUUCCUUGAAGUGGCGGCGUGAAUCUCAUCACUUCAUACAACACAUUCCAUGAAUAUUUCAUUUUGUUGAUGUCUUCCCAUUCCAAGAAGUCUCCUGGCUUCUUUGAGUCUGCUAUCUCCUUGUGCUCUGGAAUUUCACAAAACAAAUCAAAUUUUUGCACAAAAAUAUAAACCCCAAAUCUCCAAAUUCAGUUUGGUAAUCAUAAAAAUUAUAUAGUAAUUAUGUUGAAGUGAUUAAUAUUUACCAGCUAGAACCUUGGCAUAGAUGUCUGGCCUCUCUCCAACGUAUUUCAUGAAGAAAGUCAUGGCAGUAGCCACAGUGCUAUAUCCUGCUGUGAGCAAACCCAUGAUCUUAUCCGCAACCUCAGCCUCAGGCAUGUGUUUGCCAGAUGGGUCACUAGCCACAAUCAUGUGUGACAAUAUAUCAUGCAUGGGACCUCCUGCCGCCAUCGCAGCCUUCUUCUCCUGAAUCACAAUCCUCAACUCCUUUCGCAGCGCGUCUGCGGCUUUGGUUGCCUUGUAGAAUGUUGUUCCUGGGAAGUUGAUAAUAAGCGAAUGCAUCCCAACGGUAACAUCAUCAAAAUUGCUCACAAGCCUCGCAAUUCGCUCGGAAUCAUCGAUACCCAAGAAGAAUCUGCAGGCAAGACUUAGAGUGAGGGUCUUGGCCAAGGGGUAGACCUCGACCUCAUCUUUGCCUUCCCAAUAGGCCUUCAUCUGUUCCUGAGUGAUAGAGUCCAUUUUCCCCAAGUACCUCACCAAUGCUUCCGGCUUCAAAAACCCUGGGGAUCUUAUAACUUUCGCUUCUUCAUCGCGAGAAGGUUGUGCCACAGCGGGAGCAGCAGAAGCAGUGGGCGCGGCAGCCUUGUAUGAUCGAAACAUCUUUUGCAUCGAAUGUGGUCGGAAUGCUGUGAAGUACUUUUGUUCAUUGGAGAACAGAAAUUUGUGUCCACUAGGACCACAAAUCACUG